AGCGAACGCUGGCGGCAGGCCUAACACAUGCAAGUCGAGCGCCCAGCAAUGGGAGCGGCAGACGGGAUAGUAACACGUGGGAACGUACCCUUCAGUUCGGAACAACCCAGGGAAACUUGGGCUAAUACCGAAUACGUCCGUAAGGAGAAAGAUUUAUCGCUGAAGGAUCGGCCCGCGUCUGAUUAGCUAGUUCGGUAAGGUAACGGCUCACCAAGGCGACGAUCAGUAGCUGGUCGAGAGGAUGAUCAGCAUCACUGGGACUGAGACACGGCCCAGACUCCUACGGGAGGCAGCAGUGGGGAAUAUUGGACAAUGGGCGCAAGCCUGAUCCAGCCAUGCCGCGUGGAUGAUGAAGGCCCUAGGGUUGUAAAGUCCUUUCGACGGGGAAGAUAAUGACGGUACCCGUAGAAGAA
This 413-nucleotide ribosomal RNA is filed under the name uncultured bacterium. RNAcentral describes it as "bacterial SSU rRNA". It matches the Rfam family "Bacterial small subunit ribosomal RNA", at positions 29 to 489 of the family's 1533-position model. The record is from RNAcentral.